Molecule: ribosomal RNA, 497 nt
Filed under: uncultured bacterium
Lineage: Bacteria
Description: partial 16S ribosomal RNA
Rfam family: Bacterial small subunit ribosomal RNA
Source: RNAcentral
GAUGAACGCUGGCGGCGUGCCUAAUACAUGCAAGUCGAGCGAACAGACGAGGAGCUUGCUCCUCUGACGUUAGCGGCGGACGGGUGAGUAACACGUGGAUAACCUACCUAUAAGACUGGGAUAACUUCGGGAAACCGGAGCUAAUACCGGAUAAUAUAUUGAACCGCAUGGUUCAAUAGUGAAAGACGGUUUUGCUGUCACUUAUAGAUGGAUCCGCGCCGCAUUAGCUAGUUGGUAAGGUAACGGCUUACCAAGGCAACGAUGCGUAGCCGACCUGAGAGGGUGAUCGGCCACACUGGAACUGAGACACGGUCCAGACUCCUAAGGGAGGCAGCAGUAGGGAAUCGUCCGCAAUGGGCGAAAGCCUGACGGAGCAACGGCGCGUGAGUGAUGAAGGUCUUCGGAUCGUAAAACUCUGUUAUUAGGGAAGAACAAAUUUGUAAGUAACUAUGCACGUCUUGACGGUACCUAAACAGAAAGCCACGGCUAACUACGUG